This is a long non-coding RNA of Artibeus jamaicensis (Jamaican fruit-eating bat), 899 nucleotides long. RefSeq lists it as uncharacterized. The transcript has 4 exons. The record is from RefSeq and is a predicted model, not a curated record. NCBI's taxonomy places the organism in Eukaryota, Metazoa, Chordata, Mammalia, Chiroptera, Phyllostomidae.
UUCAAUCUGGCUCUGACUAUUUAAUGAGAAACUCCAAGAGGGAGGAUGCAGGGAGCUGACAUCUGAGAAGGCUGCCCACAUGGGCCUCCUGCUCUCAGGAGAAGAUCAGAAAGCCACAUCCUUUGCUUUCUCAGACCUGGGAAAUCGGUUCGCUACCCUGAGAAUAAACCUGGGAAUCGGUUCUCUACCCCGAGCCAAGGCCAGCCUAAGAGCUCUGCCCCCCACCCCGCCGGAGUCUUCGCCCUUACUUGGACAGCGCUUCCGGUCGGCGGGGCGGUGACGUCCGAAGGGUCACGUAAGCGGCUGUUUUACCUGAAGUGUCAAGGAUGUGCGUUUCACUUCCCGGCGAUGAUCUGUAGUUCUAUUCCGGAAACUGACAAGAAAUUUAGCGAGACCCUUAGGAAGUCUCACUGGAGGACUGGCUGCCCCUCUACCAAACCGCCUCCCACAGUUGCUCCCACCAAGUGAAAUAGGAAGUAAUUUGGCCUGGGGGCUGACCGGGGAGAUGCCCGAAAAAAACUGUGGCAGGACGCCUAGUGCCAGGCAGAGGCCUGGCAUCACAAAGGAAGAGAAGUCACAAGAAGCUCGGGCUCAUAUUUCAACCAGGUUUCUUCAUGGAGCCUUCCUGGGAUGAGGGUGGUGGUGUCCUCAUUUUGGAGUCCAGCUGUGUUCUAGUGAAGCCUGGCAACCCAGUUUCCUCUUCUGCUGGCUCAUGGAAACAAAGAACAGCUGUCCUGCCUUCGGAUGGUUUAAAAAUGAGAGUUUUGGGUCUAACAUUUAAGUCUUUAAUCCACUUUGAAUUUAUUCUUGUGUGUGGUAUAAGAAGGUGGUCUAGUUUCAUUUUUAGGAACAUUGCUAUCCAGUUUUCCAACACCACUUAUUGAAUAAACUAUCUUUAG